CGCUAAAUCGACACUAAUCGACAAUUGUAGUGUUGAGAGUAUCAUUUUUUGUAUUUUUAAGAAUAUUGAAUUAAAUUUAAUAGUUAUAACUGCAAGGUAUACAAACUUCGGCUUGCCGAAGUUAACUUCCCAUCUUGUUUUAUUUUAAUUUUCUUGUGCACCAGCAGAUUCCUCUUUUUAAAAUGCUCCAAUUUUACGUUUGUCAACAAAACAAACUCAUUUGCUUGACGUGAAACUCUUAGUCGAUCUGAGUACGAGGCUUUAGCCUAGGACUCAAAUCGACGAAAACCGCGAGCUAGCCAUAGGAGUGAGCGAGAGGCAACGUGGCUAACGCUCUUCGUCAGGUCUGUUUAUCAGUAAAUGCAAAACACAACCCCCAGAACGAUCUCCGACAAGCUCUCCAUUGGUGAACCACAGGACUCCACCCCGACCAGCUACUUGGCAGCUAAAGCGGAGAUGGCGUACUCGCUGGCUUCUAUAUGGAGGACGAAAAAUGGGGCAAAAAGGGGCGCUCUUUAAGAAGCACCUGGAGGAGCCAUUACCAGCCAUUGUCAGAAUGCUGGUCGACUUCCUGCAGCAUCAGGCGGAACAAACCCGUUCCCGAUCCGACUCCCACUUCAUCAAGGUCCAAUAUGCCUAUUGGGAUUCGGGAAAGAUGGCGAAGCAUCCGUGGGACGAGAAGGAAGCUUUAUACUACUAAUUUACAUGAGUAAAAACAUUCGUUGAACAGUCCACUUAAUUUUAUUUGAAAUUUUUUUGUGCACCAGACUCUUUAUUUUUAAAUUCCUCCGAUUGAUUUGUUUUCCUUUUGUCCGCGCCAAGGAGGCGCUACUGUGAACGAUUAGUGGUUAACAGACGAGAGCAGUUACGUCCAGAUGGGCUCUCAUCUCGCUCUCGGACUGUUAACAGUCUCCACCCCCGCUCUUCUAACAUUAGAUUUAAGCUCAAGCUGCCAGUUCUAAGUUACCACUC
This is a long non-coding RNA of Drosophila subpulchrella, 972 nucleotides long. RefSeq lists it as uncharacterized. The transcript is spliced from 3 exons. The record is from RefSeq and is a predicted model, not a curated record. Lineage: Eukaryota; Metazoa; Arthropoda; Insecta; Diptera; Drosophilidae.